AGGAGGGCCCUUUAUGACCCUUG
This 23-nucleotide microRNA is filed under the name Mesocestoides corti. RNAcentral describes it as "mco-miR-281-3p". Its record names the gene mco-miR-281-3p. The record is from miRBase by way of RNAcentral. Lineage: Eukaryota; Metazoa; Platyhelminthes; Cestoda; Cyclophyllidea; Mesocestoididae.